RNAcentral lists this small nuclear RNA (98 nucleotides) under Dasypus novemcinctus (nine-banded armadillo). The record is from RNAcentral. Lineage: Eukaryota; Metazoa; Chordata; Mammalia; Cingulata; Dasypodidae.
AUGCUUCAACAGCACAUAUACUAAAAUUGGAAUGAUACAGAUUACCAUGGCCUCUGAACAAGGAUGAAAUGCAAAUUCGUGAAGAGUUCCAGUGCAUU